GCGCACGGGUGAGUAACACGUAUCCAACCUGCCGUCUACUCUUGGACAGCCUUCUGAAAGGAAGAUUAAUACAAGAUGGCAUCAUGAGUCCGCAUGUUCACAUGAUUAAAGGUAUUCCGGUAGACGAUGGGGAUGCGUUCCAUUAGAUAGUAGGCGGGGUAACGGCCCACCUAGUCUUCGAUGGAUAGGGGUUCUGAGAGGAAGGUCCCCCAUAUUGGAACUGAGACACGGUCCAAACUCCUACGGGAGGCAGCAGUGAGGAAUAUUGGUCAAUGGGCGAGAGCCUGAACCAGCCAAGUAGCGUGAAGGAUGACUGCCCUAUGGGUUGUAAACUUCUUUUAUAAAGGAAUAAAGUCGGGUAUGGAUACCCGUUUGCAUGUACUUUAUGAAUAAGGAUCGGCUAACUCCGUGCCAGCAGCCGCGGUAAUACGGAGGAUCCGAGCGUUAUCCGGAUUUAUUGGGUUUAAAGGGAGCGUAGAUGGAUGUUUAAGUCAGUUGUGAAAGUUUGCGGCUCAACCGUAAAAUUGCAGUUGAUACUGGAUAUCUUGAGUGCAGUUGAGGCAGGC
This 566-nucleotide ribosomal RNA is filed under the name uncultured Bacteroidales bacterium. RNAcentral's name for it is "bacterial SSU rRNA". It matches the Rfam family "Bacterial small subunit ribosomal RNA", at positions 98 to 662 of the family's 1533-position model. The record is from RNAcentral. Lineage: Bacteria; Pseudomonadati; Bacteroidota; Bacteroidia; Bacteroidales.